GAUGAAGAACGCAGCGAAAUGCGAUACGUAAUGUGAACUGCAGAAUUCAGUGAAUCAUCGAGUCUUUGAACGCACAUUGCGCCCCCUGGUAUUCCGGGGGGCAUGCCUGUCCGAGCGUCAUUGCUGCCCUCAAGCACGGCUUGUGUGUUGGGCCUCCGUCCUCCUCCCGGGGGACGGGCCCGAAAGGCAGCGGCGGCACCGCGUCCGGUCCUCGAGCGUAUGGGGCUUCGUCACCCGCUCUUGUAGGCCCGGCCGGCGCUUGCCGACACAUCAAUCUUUUUUCCAGGUUGACCUCGGAUCAGGUAGGGAUACCCGCUGAACUUAAGCAUAUCAAUAAGCGGAGGA
This 345-nucleotide unclassified non-coding RNA is filed under the name soil metagenome. RNAcentral's name for it is "partial contains 5.8S ribosomal RNA, internal transcribed spacer 2, and large subunit ribosomal RNA". The stretch from base 1 to 120 matches the Rfam family "5.8S ribosomal RNA", at positions 35 to 154 of the family's 154-position model. The record is from RNAcentral.